This 274-nucleotide ribosomal RNA is filed under the name uncultured bacterium. RNAcentral describes it as "partial 16S ribosomal RNA". It matches the Rfam family "Bacterial small subunit ribosomal RNA", at positions 523 to 796 of the family's 1533-position model. The record is from RNAcentral.
AUACGGAGGAUCCAAGCGUUAUCCGGAAUCAUUGGGUUUAAAGGGUCCGUAGGUGGACAGAUAAGUCAGAGGUGAAAUCCUGCAGCUCAACUGUAGAAUUGCCUUUGAAACUGUUUGUCUCGAGUCAUUGUGAAGUGGUUAGAAUGUGUAGUGUAGCGGUGAAAUGCAUAGAUAUUACACAGAAUACCGAUUGCGAAGGCAGAUCACUAAUAAUGUACUGACACUGAUGGACGAAAGCGUGGGUAGCGAACAGGAUUAGAAACCCUUGUAGUCC